Molecule: ribosomal RNA, 433 nt
Filed under: uncultured bacterium
Lineage: Bacteria
Description: bacterial SSU rRNA
Rfam family: Bacterial small subunit ribosomal RNA
Source: RNAcentral
AAGGGUGUGUAGGCGGGCGCGCGCGUUCGGGGUGAAAGGUUCCGGCUCAACCGGAAAUAUGCCUCGGAUACGGCACGUCUUGAGUGCGGGAGAGGACGGUGGAAUUCCUGGUGUAGCGGUGAAAUGCGUAGAUAUCAGGAGGAACACCAGUGGCGAAGGCGGCCGUCUGGCCCGCAACUGACGCUGAAACACGAAAGCGUGGGGAUCAAACAGGAUUAGAUACCCUGGUAGUCCACGCCCUAAACGAUGCAUGCUUGGUGUCGGAGUCUUCGUACUUCGGUGCCGGAGGUAACCCGUUAAGCAUGCCACCUGGGAAGUACGGUCGCAAGGCUGAAACUCAAAGGAAUUGGCGGGGGCCCGCACAAGCGGUGGAUCAUGUGGUUUAAUUCGAUGCAACGCGAAGAACCUUACCUGGGCUUGAACUGGAGGUAAG